Vicia faba (fava bean) is the source of this 258-nucleotide non-coding RNA. NCBI's taxonomy places the organism in Eukaryota, Viridiplantae, Streptophyta, Magnoliopsida, Fabales, Fabaceae. The record is from the annotation of a GenBank genome assembly.
AUGCUACUAUUGGCUGUGGCAUUAGGAACUCAUGUGAAAAUGGGUGAGGCACAAAGUAGUAGUUGUCCAGUUCAGCUGACCAAUCUGAAUGUUUGUGCACCAUUUGUUGUGCCUGGUGCAUCCAAUACUGAGCCUAGUGCUGAUUGCUGCACUGCACUUCAGGCAACCAACCGUGAUUGUCUAUGUAACACUCUCAGAAUUGCUUCUCAACUUACUUCUGAGUGCAAUCUCCCAUCUUUUGGUUGCGUUCUGAAUUAG